Molecule: unclassified non-coding RNA, 240 nt
Filed under: soil metagenome
Description: partial contains 5.8S ribosomal RNA, internal transcribed spacer 2, and large subunit ribosomal RNA
Source: RNAcentral
AAGACUAUAGACCUGCGGAGUACCUGCGGUAGGAUCAUUAACGUAUCUAUGAUGGGGUGCGGAGCGCCCUGCUCCGGUCGAACGGCCGUGCAGCGGGUGCGCCGCCCCCGUCCCACCUCACAAACCCACUGUGAACAUUCACCGGUGGAGGGGGCUCGGUCUGCGCCGUGUCCCCGAUGCCGAAUACCCAAACUCCAGUUGCAAAGAACGUCGUGCGGACUCGGUGCCGCCUAAAACAUG